GAAUUUUAUAAGUUUUGUUUUUUGUUUUCUUUAAGUUUAUUUUAAAUAUAAAACUUAUUUGGUUGGGAGGACUUUUAAAUUAAUUAAACUUUAAAUUUUUAUAACAUUAAUUAGUGGGUUUAAAAGAUUAUAAUUAGUUAUUUAAGAAUUAAUUACCUUAGGGAUAACAGCGUAAUGCUUUUGGUUAGUUCAUAUUAAUAGAAGUGUUUGC
Molecule: ribosomal RNA, 211 nt
Filed under: Pseudomyrmex gracilis
Lineage: Eukaryota; Metazoa; Arthropoda; Insecta; Hymenoptera; Formicidae
Description: partial large subunit ribosomal RNA
Source: RNAcentral